This 106-nucleotide transfer RNA is filed under the name Colletotrichum orbiculare MAFF 240422. RNAcentral's name for it is "tRNA-Met for anticodon CAU". It matches the Rfam family "tRNA". Rfam says of the family: Transfer RNA (tRNA) molecules are approximately 80 nucleotides in length. Their secondary structure includes four short double-helical elements and three loops (D, anti-codon, and T loops). Further hydrogen bonds mediate the characteristic L-shaped molecular structure. tRNAs have two regions of fundamental functional importance: the anti-codon, which is responsible for specific mRNA codon recognition, and the 3' end, to which the tRNAs corresponding amino acid is attached (by aminoacyl-tRNA synthetases). tRNAs cope with the degeneracy of the genetic code in two manners: having more than one tRNA (with a specific anti-codon) for a particular amino acid; and 'wobble' base-pairing, i.e. permitting non-standard base-pairing at the 3rd anti-codon position. Lineage: Eukaryota; Fungi; Ascomycota; Sordariomycetes; Glomerellales; Glomerellaceae. The record is from Rfam by way of RNAcentral.
GUCUUCGUGGCUCAGUCGGUAGAGCGUUGGUCUCAUAUCAUGGUCAUAUGACUUCAUCCAAGGUGAAGACAUCCAAAGGUCGAGAGUUCGAGCCUCUCCGAGGACA